GAUGAAGAACGCAGCGAAAUGCGAUAAGUAAUGUGAAUUGCAGAAUUCAGUGAAUCAUCGAAUCUUUGAACGCACCUUGCACCCUUUGGCAUUCCGAAGGGUAUGCUCGUUUGAGUGUCAUUGUACUCUCACUCUCCCGAUGCUUUUGGAUCGGGAGUGGUGGACUUGGGUGUUGCUGCUUUGCUGUGGCUCGCCUCAAAUGGAGUAGUGCAACUCUUGGUUGGACAUAGUACGGCGUGAUAAGUGUCUUCGCCGGCGCCUCAUUAUAGAGGGUGGCCGAUCGGGAGCUCUGUGCUUCAAACCGUCUUCGGACAACAUCUGACAACUUGACCUCAAAUCGAGUAGGACUACCCGCUGAACUUAAGCAUAUCAAUAAGGGAGGA
This 383-nucleotide unclassified non-coding RNA is filed under the name soil metagenome. Its description in RNAcentral is "partial contains 5.8S ribosomal RNA, internal transcribed spacer 2, and large subunit ribosomal RNA". The stretch from base 1 to 120 matches the Rfam family "5.8S ribosomal RNA", at positions 35 to 154 of the family's 154-position model. The record is from RNAcentral.